RNAcentral lists this long non-coding RNA (4316 nucleotides) under Citrus maxima (pomelo). RNAcentral describes it as "long non-coding RNA (CMAX_LNC001257)". Lineage: Eukaryota; Viridiplantae; Streptophyta; Magnoliopsida; Sapindales; Rutaceae. The record is from RNAcentral.
CACUUCACUACAUUGACAGCGUUGAAAGUGUAACUAAAACCCUUGCUUUCACAAGCAAGCAUCGGUGAAUGAAAAAGAAAGUCUCUCUCGAAGGUAAUUGACAGAGGAGCAAUCUUCUUACUCUUUAACUAAAUAUCAGAAAUACAAGGUUAAGGCAGCUAGGGUUGCGAAGGAGAAGGAUCGUUCCCGGAUUUUGCCUGCUUCAAGUUGUUGGGCUUGGUGAACCAAGUUGUGUACACGAAUUGCUUAUGAGGGCCCACAUGGUUGCAGACAAGCCUGAGCUUUUGUCUCUCCCUCAUGUCUCACAUUUUAUGAUGAAUCAAAUUGAACUCCCAACACGGUAGUUCAUAAAAUAUGCUUUUCUUCUUCCAAGUAAUCUUAUCAUUUCUCUCAUUUUAUUCAUUCUCCACUUUUCAAGUCUUCAAUCUUAAACUCAGUAAGGAUAUUAUUCAACUGCUUUUUCACUUCAGCUCCAGACAUCCGAGAAGGUGCUUGUCCCCACUCUCUAGAUUUAUCAAAAGGCACUAUAUUUUCGAAACCUAUGAUUCGUCAGUAAAAAUCGACGUUACCGACGUGACAAAAUUUUCUACUAUGUAUCAACCAAUUAGAUCUAGUGUUUUGUUGGCAAACAAGAAAUGCUUAUUUACCUUUAAUACUCCACUCAGACAAGUUGGCAUGUGCUAGAAAGUCACUGAUAGUCCAUAACAAUGCUGUGUGUGAAUUGAAUAUUUGAUUACGUGAUGUAUCAUGUAUCAUUCCAACCAUAUCAUCAUCAGCACCCGAGUCAUGACUAACCUGUUUCUUGGUUAGAUUCCAAAGAUGAAGAUGGCUCACCAUGCAAUAUCCAGUUUUAAUACUUUAACCAAAAACCAUUUAUAAUGAUAUGGUCUCUUGCUACUUCCCUUAAAACGAAAUAUUCGACACUUCUUACAAGGAUAAUAAAUUCUUGCAUCACCAACAACAUUCUCAAAUGCAAAAUCUAUAACUUAGAUAUCUAUUUGCCAAACCAACCCAACUCUUCUCCAUUACCAUCUCCUUUUAAUGCACUACAAAAAUUAGUUAGAUAAAUCAUUUUAGUUUUUCAUUUCUACUACUGACCAAGAUAUUUUCGUGUGUGCACAGUUUUGCAAUAUAAUUAAAAAAUCAUUAUACAAUUUUAUGGUUAAUUUCAUUAGAAUUUAUAUAUAUGAAAGCAAGUAAAGCGACAAGAAUCAGAGAAAAAGACGUGAAAAUUAAAGUAUAUAUACAACAAUAAUUAAUGUAAAAAACAGUUUCCAAUACCUUCUGUAAAGAAAUAUCCUCACCCACAGCUGAGAACUUCAGUUGGUUAUCAAUUACAGAUACAAAGCAUGUUACCUAGAAACAAAAAAAAAGGUCAGCCAGCUGAAACAUAUUUAUAAACCAACAUUGGAGAUAGUACUCCAUUUAUAAACAAAAUUACAAGCUCAAAACCAAGUUAACUCAGCAAAACUAUAACCGAUUACGUCCAUCCAACUCAGCUCCUCCACUCCCAUCAAUAUGUCCAACACUCCCUUCAUAUUUACAAAAGGUAAGUGGUCCCGUAUAUCCCUCUCAAGAAUGCAUAAGUUUCUUCAAUCUCAAGUACUUUAAAGUUUUCUUCUACGUUUAUAGAAAUUUCGGCAGCAUCUCCCUUUAGUUCUCCAAGCAACGACAUAGAUAUAUGAGUGUUUAUGUGUUAUCUAGUAUGCACCCAAAGAAGAUGAGAAGCAGCUUGCGAAAAACUCAUUUUUACGUGGGAAAAAAACUUCAGCUACUAGCUACCAUAGAAAACUAUGCAUUCCCAAACAGUUCAAGCCUAGACAAUUCAAGAAUUAUUAAUAGGCAUAUGAUCCUCACUAUCAUCCAAAGAUGACACUAAUAAAACAUGUGUCUAUUAAUAAUUUCUUAAACGAUCUAAGCUUUCAAUGCAUGUAUUGAAAGUUUAAAAUUCAAUCUGAAAUUUGAAUAACACAUAAAUAUCAUAAAUCUCUUCAAUUUGUUCCUAAUACAAUGUAGCAUUAUUACGCGCAUCAUUUCUUAAGCAAAUCCAUAAAAAAUACAAACAAUAAAUACAUUUUCUAGCACUGAUGCAGAUUAUGUUUACUAAGCAAUAAGUUUUAAGUCAUUCAUGUUAAAAUACUUUUUCCUAUUCUUUCAACAUAUAACUAGUACGUGCACACAAUUAAUAAAUUAAAUAUAACCUGGUUGUGAAUCUCGCAAAAAUCUUCCUAUUUUUUUUUUUUUGGUUGGGGGGGGGGGGGGGGGGUGUGAGCUGCUUGUGAAUCUUGCAAAUCCUCGGGAAGGCAUGUUAAGUCAAGGCCAACUUACUAUUAGGGUAUGAAAGAUAUAACCUUUUUUUUCCCUUUUCAGAGUAAAAAGAACAUUGACAGUGUUAAAAAAAUCUAGAGGAUUUCAGGCCCAUAUCCUAACAAAUCAAGGAUAUUAGAAAAAUUUACUGAGGAUAUAGUUUAUGCUCAAUUGUAUCUUGCAGGAAGAAAUUGAUAAGCCUCAGUUUCAAUUAGCUUCAUUAUAGCCAAUGAUUAGGUGUUUAAAAACCAAUGAAUAUUUUUAUAAGAAAUCAACCGUAUUGUCGGAAGAAAAACCAAAUAAAAAUAACAAAGCCAAUGAACAGACUAAUGCUCUUUAUGGUCUAAUAACUAAAAACCAAUGAGUAUUUUUAUAAGAAAUCAACAGUAUUGUUGGAAGAAAAACCAAAUAAAAAUAACAAAGCCAAUGAACAGAUUAACGCUCUUUAUGGUCUAAUAACUAAUCAAACUAAGUUGUGGGUAAAGGCGAAUAUGUUUGUUUGGUCAAUAAUAAGCUCAACGAAUCACUAAUAAGCACCUAAUCACUAUUCCUUAUGCUAUGCAAUGUAAUGGCCUGGGUAAUGGCAGCAAGGCAGGCAAGAACUAGCUAGCCAGUUAUGAUAGUUGAUUAAGAAACUUGAUUAUAUGUAUAUUUUUGUUUGCCACAUUUAAAGAGAAUUUUCCAAAGAUGCUAAGAUACACCAAAUCCCACUAUUUCCAUACUCAUAAAAACAAAAAGCCAUGGCAAAAAUGAAUGACUAUAUAAAAUAAAAUAGGUCAUAGGACAUUGAGAUUAAGGCAACAUGAUUUGUAUACCAUAAAAUAACUAUAUCUGCAUAGUCAAUUAUAUUUCUGUUAGAACUCUAAAGUUUUCAUUUAAAUUUUUUUCCCUGUUAUGUAAACCAUUUAACUGAAAUGCUUAAGCCAAUAUUAACAAUCAUAGACAUACAAGUAUUAAUAGGCUCGUUCAAGUGAAAUGAGCAUUAUUUCUCAUAUCCUUUAGGUUUUUAAGUCAUUUAGAAGUCAUUCAUGUUAAAAAAUUUCUUCAUAUACUUUCAUUAUAAUUAGUACAUAGACAAUUAUUUAAAUAAAUAAAUCUGUUUCUGCUAGUACAGGAAAUUAAUUAAUCAAAGCUAGUAGUUAUAGCUAGGACUUGAAUGAGGCACCUUUCAGAGUUCAAGAGGAGCAUCUGAACAGAACCUUUAUAGAAAUGGCAAUGACGCUUUACAUCUACAUGCUCUUACACAAUAUGGACUUUCAUUUAUUCAAGAACAUAACACUACUCCAAGCUCUUAUUCUACAAGUUAAUUCAGUUUAUAUUAUAAUUUCUGAAAAUAGAACGUAACAUUAUUAAUAUAGAAUCAGCAAUAUAUAUAACUUAUCAGACAAUAUAACAUGCACUUGGUGAGCAUACAAGAUAAACAAGUUAUCUAGAAAAUGAAACUAAAACCCAAGCUCCGCUAUUCAUUGUAGAAGCUUUAAACAUAAAAUUAAAGUAAAUCUAAUAGCAAAACAUUAGAAUGGAUGUUGGAAUUAAAGCUAAAUUCAAUAGUAAUUCAAAUGAAUCCAUUUGAACUUUGUAGAACAAAAUUAAUUUGAGUGAGCAAACACACCAAUGGAACAAGAACACAGGGCUUCAACUUGUAGGAAUAAAAACAAUUGCUGGCGAGACAAAAAUUGACAAUAACGACUACAAUACGAAUUAAAAAGAAUCAAAAUCUAUAAUUACAAGCUAAGUAAGAGAAGAAACUCAUAAUCACAAGCUUAACUCAAAAGAUGAAGGGAGAAUACGAUGAAGAAGAAGAUGCCCGGUGUUUUACGCCGUUCGCCGGCAACCAGUUAGGUUUACGAUGGAGUCCAGCGAAUAGUUUUCUAACUGGAAAUAAAUUUAAAAUUCUAAAAUAGUAGUAUACCGAACGGCUCUUUACCGUCACGUGGUUAGUAACAUAUGUGACAGCAGUGUGGCUGUCACAUAAAGGGUAACAAAAGCAACUCGGGGUUACAAAGAAG